GUGUCAGCAGCCGCGGUAAUACGUAGGGGGCUAGCGCUGUCCGGAUUUAUUGGGCGUAAAGGGCGCGUAGGUGGCGGCCCAAGUCCAUGGUGAAAGCUCGAUGCUCAACAUCGAGUCGGCCACGGAUACUGGGUUGCUCGAGCACUGUAGGGGCAGAUGGAAUUCCGGGUGUAGCGGUGGAAUGCGUAGAGAUCCGGUAGAACACCGGUGGCGAAGGCGGUCUGCUGGGCAGUUGCUGACACUGAGGCGCGACAGCGUGGGGAGCAAACAGGAUUAGAUACCCUCGUAGUCC
RNAcentral lists this ribosomal RNA (292 nucleotides) under uncultured bacterium. RNAcentral describes it as "partial 16S ribosomal RNA". It matches the Rfam family "Bacterial small subunit ribosomal RNA", at positions 505 to 796 of the family's 1533-position model. The record is from RNAcentral.